GACGAACGCUGGCGGCGUGCCUAAUACAUGCAAGUUGAGCGCUGAAGGUUGGUACUUGUACCAACUGGAUGAGCAGCGAACGGGUGAGUAACGCGUGGGGAAUCUGCCUUUGAGCGGGGGACAACAUUUGGAAACGAAUGCUAAUACCGCAUAAAAACUUUAAACACAAGUUUUAAGUUUGAAAGAUGCAAUUGCAUCACUCAAAGAUGAUCCCGCGUUGUAUUAGCUAGUUGGUGAGGUAAAGGCUCACCAAGGCGAUGAUACAUAGCCGACCUGAGAGGGUGAUCGGCCACAGUGGGACUGAGACACGGGCCAAAAUCCUACGGGAGGCAGCAGUAGGGAAUCUUCGGCAAUGGACGAAAGGCUGACCGAGCAACGCCGCGGGAGUGAAGAAGGUUUUCGGAGCGUAAAACCCUGUUGGUAGAGAAGAACGUUGGUGAGAGUGGAAAGCUCAUCAAGUGACGGUAACUACCCAGAAAGGGACGGCUAACUACGUG
RNAcentral lists this ribosomal RNA (497 nucleotides) under uncultured bacterium. Its description in RNAcentral is "partial 16S ribosomal RNA". It matches the Rfam family "Bacterial small subunit ribosomal RNA", at positions 28 to 507 of the family's 1533-position model. The record is from RNAcentral.